This 486-nucleotide long non-coding RNA is filed under the name Heterocephalus glaber (naked mole-rat). RNAcentral describes it as "lncRNA (ENSHGLG00100029137.2)". Lineage: Eukaryota; Metazoa; Chordata; Mammalia; Rodentia; Bathyergidae. The record is from RNAcentral.
AACAUGGGCUGUGAAGACUGGAUUGUAGGCUGUUAAACAUGAAAUCAUAUUCAUCAGUACAGUCUGCUCACUAGGUCCAGGAGAAGACCAUCUACAGCACUUGCUCCUAAUAUUCUCAGUGUUUUGAGAGCAGUAGACCCAGAAGGAUCUAUUAGGGAUAUUGUGAUGUUCCUGACUCCACUCCCAUCAUUACAGAGAGCUGACCACCAUCUCCUACUGCGCUAGUCAGGGAGUCCUGCAGGAUCCAGAGGAGAUUGGGGUGAUAACGCAGACUCCACUCUUCCUAUCAUCCCUGCACAGCCAACCUUCAUCUCAGGAAGAGAUCACGUGUGCACUUUCACAGCUGUGCCUGGAGCCACUGCAUGGUUCAUAGGGAAGUGGGGCAUCAUGUGGGGCUUUCGGUCUUCAACCAUUUCUUCAUUAGUAAAUAUUCUUGCCCAAUGCUACAUGGGUCAUGUCACGUAUUUCCAAUUAAUUCAACAGGGC